RNAcentral lists this long non-coding RNA (727 nucleotides) under Solanum lycopersicum (tomato). RNAcentral describes it as "partial TCONS_00011527". Lineage: Eukaryota; Viridiplantae; Streptophyta; Magnoliopsida; Solanales; Solanaceae. The record is from RNAcentral.
CCUAAGAUAAAAUGGGGAGAAAGAAUGUAUUUAUACUUCACAAUUUCUUAUAUAUAGGUAAUUAAUUAGUUGGAGGAAAAAAAAAAGAAGAAAUUUUGGUCAAAAGGUAACCAACCAAUGUGACAUUUUACUCGAGGACCAUACGAUAUGUUCCUUAUCCUUUUAUUAAUUCUUCAAUUUAUCUAAAGAAUAAAAGUAUUCAUUAUAUAAUUCUCAUCGAUCGAAUGUAUAAUUUUUUUUCCUACAAAAUAUUAAAAUUUUCUCUCUUUUGAGGUAAACAUAUAGUCUUAAUAUUUAUUUGAUAUUAUUUCAGAUAAUAUUAUUUUAUUAUAUAUAUUAUAAUAAAAUUAUGUCUUCGUCACUGAAUCCCGCUAAGGCCAGGCAACAGAAUGGGAUGUAUCGAUAUCGAUUUUGCUAUUGUCGUGGUUCGUUUCAGUUCGAUUGUCUACGGGAUGAAAAGGAAUAUUCUAAAUCGGGACAUAGAACGGCACAUUAUCGAGGUUUGAUACCGGUGUACCGUACUGAUUUAUUUCAAUUUCGAUCAAGUUCUAAUUAACUAAUAUUUUAUCUUAAAUAAUAAAUACUAUCCAAAUAACUCAACUGCUCCUUAUAAGUAUUACAUUCGAUACUUGGUUGAAACAUAACCCUUCCUAAAAGGUGGUUGUGUAAACUAUGCACUCUACUGAUAGUUGUAAAUUGAGUUUGUAAUUUGUAAUCCAAAGUUAAU